This 397-nucleotide ribosomal RNA is filed under the name Lunella coronata. RNAcentral's name for it is "partial 16S ribosomal RNA". It matches the Rfam family "Bacterial large subunit ribosomal RNA", at positions 1954 to 2531 of the family's 2925-position model. Lineage: Eukaryota; Metazoa; Mollusca; Gastropoda; Trochida; Turbinidae. The record is from RNAcentral.
AGGUAGCAUAAUCAUUUGCCUUUUAAUUGGAGGCUUGUAUGAAUGGUUUGACGAGAGCUAAGCUGUCUCCUCUUAAAUAUAAAAAAAUUAAUUUUUAGGUGAAAAAGCCUAAAUUCAAUUGAGGGACAAGAAGACCCCUUUGAGCUUUAGUGAUCUAACAAAUUUUUAUAGCUGUCGAAAAGACAGCAGCGUAACAUUAAUGAAAACAUCAUUUGUUAAAAAUCUUUAGUUGGGGCGACUAAGGAACAUGAAAAGCUUCCUUUAAAUCUCUACUUAUGAGAAGUCAAUCUUAUACAAAGAUCCAGUACUUACUGAUCAGAGAAAAAAGUUACCACGGGGAUAACAGCGUAAUUCUUCUAGAGAGCUCAUAUCGAAGGAAGAGUUUGCGACCUCGAUG